Regulatory RNA element from Betaproteobacteria bacterium MOLA814, 68 nucleotides. It matches the Rfam family "ilvH RNA". NCBI's taxonomy places the organism in Bacteria, Pseudomonadati, Pseudomonadota, Betaproteobacteria. The record is from Rfam.
UCUGAAUCUAUUGUUCGCCAAACCAGCUUGUUACCGUGAGCUGGCGAGGGCGGCAAAAAGAAACAACC